CAUCUACCUGGGGCCUGCAUUGCUGUCCCGUGCGCUCCUGCCUGUCUCCCAGGUGAUGCCUACCUCUCCUUCAAACAGAGGCCCUCAGCCUCGCAGCUCAGACACGGGGCAGGCGCUUCUCCUCCUUGUGUUAACAGCAACACUGGAUAAUCAAAAGAAUCAUCUCCUCAAGAAGCAACUGACUCCUGGCAUUGAGUGUUAUGUUUGUAAGCCUAUGGUGUCUCACAGGGGGCAGUGUCACCCAUGAGAGUAUAGUACCAGCCUGACUCAGUCAUGAACCUCAUGAGCCACAGUUACAUUGGCCUGGCAAGACCUGUUCACUGGUCCAAUAGUGGCACCAAUGUCAUAGCAGUAACCCACUACUUUCCAAUUGGACUUAAGGCCUGCCACACAAGCUGAAACCUACAGUUAGCACCAUCACUAAAACCAGAACUCAUGUCUGGAAAGGUCAAAGACCCUAAAGGAGAAACUACUGCUUUUACUGUUAAGUGGGCAGACUAUUAAACUAACCAAUAACUUAUCAUUAUAUUCAUAGACUAUCGGUCAAUUCUCAUCAAAGAUUCUUUCUGAAGUAGAUGGUAACUGAUACACAGACUCAAAAUGUAGAAAAUACGAGCCUGAAAAAUGCGGACCCCUGAAUGGGACAUUAUAUUAUACACUUAAGGCUCAGGGAUCGUUGUAAAAGAGGGGGGGUGGGGAAGAUUUGAGAGCCACAGACAGUGAAUGACCACACGGCAGUUGAACAUGAAUCCAGUUCAUGGCAGUUGUGAAUGAACAAGACCUGCAUAGACUCGAGCCAGACAGCAUCUCAACAGGAGAGGAGGAGGUGUGCAAAGCAAACUUCCAAUGCAGUGUGUGUUCAAGUGUCCCAUGUUUUCAUUCUAAAGAACAAAACCAAGACCGCUAAAACAACAGAAAUGACUGGUCCCACGAACAUCCUAUUAACUGUAGAACAUACAUGAAAUAAUGCACAUGCUCAUCUUGUAUCAGCUACAGACAAUGGGCAAUAAAGUCUGUCUUUAUU
RNAcentral lists this long non-coding RNA (1024 nucleotides) under Mus pahari (shrew mouse). Its description in RNAcentral is "lncRNA (MGP_PahariEiJ_G0012458.1)". The record is from RNAcentral. Lineage: Eukaryota; Metazoa; Chordata; Mammalia; Rodentia; Muridae.